CAGCCGCCACGGGAAUACGAAGGGUGCAAGCGUUACUCGGAAUUACUGGGCGUAAAGCGUGCGCAGGCGGCUUUGCAAGACAGAUGUGAAAUCCCCGGGCUCAACCUGGGAACUGCAUUUGUGACUGCAAGGCUAGAGUGCGGCAGAGGGAGAUGGAAUUCCGCGUGUAGCAGUGAAAUGCGUAGAUAUGCGGAGGAACACCGAUGGCGAAGGCAAUCUCCUGGGCCUGCACUGACGCUCAUGCACGAAAGCGUGGGGAGCAAACAGGAUUAGAUACCCCAGUAGUCCCUGUCUCUUAUAC
Molecule: ribosomal RNA, 301 nt
Filed under: uncultured bacterium
Lineage: Bacteria
Description: partial 16S ribosomal RNA
Rfam family: Bacterial small subunit ribosomal RNA
Source: RNAcentral